UACGUAGGGGGCUAGCGUUGUCCGGAAUCAUUGGGCGUAAAGAGCGUGUAGGCGGUCCGGUAAGUCCGCUGUGAAAGUCGGGGGCUCAACCCUCGAAAGCCGGUGGAAACUGUCGGGCUAGAGUGCGGAAGAGGCGAGUGGAAUUCUUGGUGUAGCGGUGAAAUGCGUAGAUAUCAAGAGGAACACCUGCGGCGAAGGCGGGUUGCUGGGCUGAUACUGACGCUGAGGCGCGAAAGCUAGGGGAGCGAACGGG
Molecule: ribosomal RNA, 253 nt
Filed under: uncultured bacterium
Lineage: Bacteria
Description: partial 16S ribosomal RNA
Rfam family: Bacterial small subunit ribosomal RNA
Source: RNAcentral